RNAcentral lists this ribosomal RNA (257 nucleotides) under uncultured prokaryote. Its description in RNAcentral is "partial 16S ribosomal RNA". It matches the Rfam family "Bacterial small subunit ribosomal RNA", at positions 521 to 777 of the family's 1533-position model. The record is from RNAcentral.
UAAGACGAACCGUGCGAACGUUGUUCGGAUUCACUGGGCUUAAAGGGCGCGUAGGCGGGUUCCCAAGUCAGGGGUGAAAUCUUUCGGCUCAACCGGAAAACAGCCCCUGAUACUGGGAGUCUGGAGGGAGGUAGGGGCAUGUGGAACUUCCGGUGGAGCGGUGAAAUGCGUAGAUAUCGGAAGGAACGCCGGUGGCGAAAGCGACGUGCUGGACCUCUUCUGACGCUGAGGCGCGAAAGCUAGGGGAGCAAACGGGA